GACAGAGGUGCCGAGCGUUAGGCGGAAUCACUGGGCUUAAAGCGUGUGUAGGCGGAUCUGUAAGUACCUUGUGAAAUCCCACGGCUCAACCGUGGAACUGCUUGGUAUACUGCGGGUCUUGAGCCACCUAGGGGCAAGUGGAACAAACGGUGGAGCGGUGAAAUGCGUAGAUAUCGUUUGGAACGCCAAUGGUGAAAACAACUUGCUGGGGGUGUGCUGACGCUGAGACACGAAGCCAGGGGAGCAAACGGG
Molecule: ribosomal RNA, 252 nt
Filed under: uncultured bacterium
Lineage: Bacteria
Description: partial 16S ribosomal RNA
Rfam family: Bacterial small subunit ribosomal RNA
Source: RNAcentral